GAUGAACGCUGGCGGCGUGCCUAAUACAUGCAAGUCGAGCGAACAGACGAGGAGCUUGCUCCUCUGACGUUAGCGGCGGACGGGUGAGUAACACGUGGAUAACCUACCUAUAAGACUGGGAUAACUUCGGGAAACCGGAGCUAAUACCGGAUAAUAUAUUGAACCGCAUGGUUCAAUAGUGAAAGACGGUUUUGCUGUCACUUAUAGAUGGAUCCGCGCCGCAUUAGCUAGUUGGUAAGGUAACGGCUUACCAAGGCAACGAUGCGUAGCCGACCUGAGAGGGUGAUCGGCCACACUGGAACUGAGACACGGUCCAGACUCCUACGGGAGGCAGCAGUAGGGAAUCUGCCGCAAUGGGCGAAAGCGUGACGGAGCAACGCCGCGUGAGUGAUGAAGGUCUUCGGAGCGUAAAACUCUGUUAUUAGGAAAGAACAAAUGUGUAAGUAACGAUGCACGUCUGGACGGUACCUAAUCAGAAAGCCACGGCUAACUACGU
RNAcentral lists this ribosomal RNA (496 nucleotides) under uncultured bacterium. RNAcentral's name for it is "partial 16S ribosomal RNA". It matches the Rfam family "Bacterial small subunit ribosomal RNA", at positions 28 to 506 of the family's 1533-position model. The record is from RNAcentral.